UACGGAGGAUCCAAGCGUUAUCCGGAAUUACUGGGCGUAAAGAGUUGCGUGGGUGGCAGGGUAAGUUGAUAGUGAAAGCGUGCGGCUCAACCGCAUACACAUUAUCAAAACUGCUCAGCUAGAGGGCGAGAGAGGUAACUGGAAUUCCUAGUGUAGGAGUGAAAUCCGUAGAUAUUAGGAGGAACACCGAUGGCGUAGGCAGGUUACUGGCUCGUCACUGACACUAAGGCACGAAAGCGUGGGGAGCAAACGGG
This 254-nucleotide ribosomal RNA is filed under the name uncultured bacterium. RNAcentral's name for it is "partial 16S ribosomal RNA". It matches the Rfam family "Bacterial small subunit ribosomal RNA", at positions 524 to 776 of the family's 1533-position model. The record is from RNAcentral.